CACGUAGGGCGCAAGCGUUGUCCGGAAUUAUUGGGCGUAAAGAGCUCGUAGGCGGUCUGUUGCGUCCGCUGUGAAAACUCGGGGCUUAACCCCGAGCCUGCAGUGGAUACGGGCAGACUAGAGGUAGGUAGGGGAGAAUGGAAUUCCCGGUGUAGCGGUGAAAUGCGCAGAUAUCGGGAGGAACACCUGUGGCGAAAGCGGCGCACUGGACCAUAACUGACGCUGAUGCGCGAAAGCUAGGGGAGCAAACAGG
RNAcentral lists this ribosomal RNA (253 nucleotides) under uncultured bacterium. RNAcentral describes it as "partial 16S ribosomal RNA". It matches the Rfam family "Bacterial small subunit ribosomal RNA", at positions 524 to 776 of the family's 1533-position model. The record is from RNAcentral.